AUACGCGACGGGGUAUUGU
RNAcentral lists this small nuclear RNA (19 nucleotides) under Arabidopsis thaliana (thale cress). RNAcentral describes it as "snRNA_10872". The record is from RNAcentral. Lineage: Eukaryota; Viridiplantae; Streptophyta; Magnoliopsida; Brassicales; Brassicaceae.